AUAACAAAUUAAAUAUUCAUAAAUAACAACAAAUUCAUUCUUUUCUUCAGUAUUUGAAUUAUUACAAUUAAUCCCUUUGUAAUUACAAUAUUUUAAAAAACACAUCUAAAUAAUGAAGUCUCAUUUCAUUUAAAUAACCAAUCACAUAAUGCUAUAAAUAGGAUGUUUCCCUCAAAUUGUUUUGAUACAAAAUACAGUGUAUAGAAAAGCAGAAAUGAUUGAUUCAUCUAAAAACUUAAGACAGGAUAAGAAUCUUAUGUUUAAUAUUUCAUUAUACCACUGAAAGGAAUUAUUAUUUAAAAAAAAAAAAAUAAAUAAAAAAUAUUUCUCUUUAUAAAAAAUCUAAGGAUUGGUAUUUGUAGUACAUUUAUUUAAUAAUUUGGAAAUUCAUAAUUAUUUUUUAAUUUCGCUCAAAUUUUUUGGACUAUUAAAAAAGUAAAGUACAACAUUUAAAUUUACCUGAAAUGAUUAAGAGUCUGAUGAACUCUGUAUUAAACACAUAUUUUAUCUUAUUGUUCAUAAUAUGCUCUCUACUAUUUAUGACAUCUAAUCAAUAUAUUUUGUCAAAUUUUUCUAUAAAAAAUACAAGAUAUAUAUUUCUGAGAUCUGAUUUAAAAAAAAAUCAUUGUUAGUUUAUAACAAUUCUAAAUUAUCUAAACUUUUAAAAAUACCAUGAUUUCUUUCUAAUACAAAGGUUCUACAUGAGUGUGAUUCAAUUAUCCCAUUGAUAGUAAAAUACUGGACAUUAAAAUCUCAAAGAGAAGAAAUAUUGUAUCGCACAAUAUAAGGUGGUGGAAUCUGUUUCUCUGGUGAUUUUUAGAUGAUAUGUAGACAAUCUUCAAUUAAUUUAUCAAUAUUUCUUUUAAGUGAUUUGCUGUUUUUUAUGAGACUUCAUCUGGCAUGGUACCAUUAUUUGGAAAUAAAGAAAAUUUCUCAAGAAUAAAAUUUCAAAGUUAAAUACACCUGUUGAUUAUAACAAAAUAAGUCUAGGCCUCCGGGAAAGUAUACUGAUAAACCGGCUUAGAAGGAGAGUAAAAAAUUACAAUAAGCUCAUUGAUAUAAAAAAAAAUCUAAUAAAUAUAUUUUACACAUAAAAAUAAGUCUUCACAGAUGUACAAUCAAUAUAUGAGACAAUAUCUGAAAAAGUCUAAUUUCCAUGUCCCUCACUUCACCAGCAAUUAUUUUUUUAUUCAACCAUCUUUUUUGAAAAUUUUAAGUUUCAGCAUAAACUAAAUUAUAUAAUGCACCAACUCCGGUCAUUUAAACACUCAGUCUUAUAUU
Molecule: long non-coding RNA, 1281 nt
Filed under: Mytilus galloprovincialis (Mediterranean mussel)
Lineage: Eukaryota; Metazoa; Mollusca; Bivalvia; Mytilida; Mytilidae
Source: RNAcentral